AUGGCUGAGCGGACCAAAGCGGCGAAUUGCUAAUUCGUUGUACGAGCUAUCCGUACCGAGGGUUCGAAUCCCUCUCUCUCCGUUCAAUA
This 89-nucleotide transfer RNA is filed under the name Ginkgo biloba (maidenhair tree). Its description in RNAcentral is "tRNA-Ser". It matches the Rfam family "tRNA". From Rfam's summary of the family: Transfer RNA (tRNA) molecules are approximately 80 nucleotides in length. Their secondary structure includes four short double-helical elements and three loops (D, anti-codon, and T loops). The record is from RNAcentral. Lineage: Eukaryota; Viridiplantae; Streptophyta; Ginkgoopsida; Ginkgoales; Ginkgoaceae.